CUCCCAUUCCGUCCAUAAAUAGUUUCAAUUCAAAACAUAAUUCAUUCUUUUCUAAGAAUCAAACUUCAAACUUAAAACAUACUCACUUUCUUAAUAACUCAAAAUCAAACUAUAUAACAUUUAAAUCUAAAUCUCUUUUAAAUAAUCAUCUAAAUAAAAUCUCUAAUUUUUUUUUAUAAAAUUUCGGCAGCAUCUCCUCUAAAACUCGGACUUUGCCACCCUUUUCGGGUCCAAACCUGCUUUCUUUUCAAUUCAACAUACCCUUCCUCAUCAUCAUAACAAUCACCACAAUAAAUCUACUUCAAUUCAACAAUUAAACUCAUACAAUAUUCAAAUCCAACAACCAAAAUUCAACUAAGAAUCAUAGUUCACAAAUCCUAGGCUUUUAACACAAAUACCUCAAAUCAAUAAUUCACCAAAUCGUUAGUUAAUAACUAAUUAUCCAAUAAACUUCAACCAAAUAUAUAUAUUCAUCGACAAAUUACUAAACAUUAAGCAUACACCUGCAUUCCAACUUAUCCUAUGGUCA
RNAcentral lists this long non-coding RNA (529 nucleotides) under Arachis ipaensis. Its description in RNAcentral is "long non-coding RNA (AIPA_LNC001124)". Lineage: Eukaryota; Viridiplantae; Streptophyta; Magnoliopsida; Fabales; Fabaceae. The record is from RNAcentral.